RNAcentral lists this transfer RNA (73 nucleotides) under Anneissia japonica. RNAcentral's name for it is "tRNA-Thr". It matches the Rfam family "tRNA". From Rfam's summary of the family: Transfer RNA (tRNA) molecules are approximately 80 nucleotides in length. Their secondary structure includes four short double-helical elements and three loops (D, anti-codon, and T loops). The record is from RNAcentral. Lineage: Eukaryota; Metazoa; Echinodermata; Crinoidea; Comatulida; Comatulidae.
GCCUUCGUGGUCUAGUGGUUAUGACACUCGCCUCGUCAGCGAGAGGUCGCAGGUUCGAAUCCCGUCGGAGGCA